UACGGAGGGUGCAAGCGUUAUCCGGAUUCACUGGGUUUAAAGGGUGCGUAGGAGGGCAGGGAAGUCAGUGGUGAAAUCUUGGGGCUUAACCCCGAAACUGCCGUUGAUACUCUCUGUCUUGAAUCCCGUGGAGGUGAGCGGAAUAUGUCAUGUAGCGGUGAAAUGCUUAGAUAUGACAUAGAACACCGAUAGCGAAGGCAGCUUACUACAGGAUGAUUGACGCUGAGGCACGAAAGCGUGGGGAGCAAACAGG
Molecule: ribosomal RNA, 253 nt
Filed under: uncultured bacterium
Lineage: Bacteria
Description: partial 16S ribosomal RNA
Rfam family: Bacterial small subunit ribosomal RNA
Source: RNAcentral